AUUGAACGCUGGCGGCAUGCCUUACACAUGCAGGUCGAACGGCAGCGGACCUUCGGGUGCCGGCGAGUGGCGAACGGGUGAGUAAUAUAUCGGAACGUGCCUUUCAGUGGGGGGAUAACGUAGCGAAAGUUACGCUAAUACCGCAUAUUCUGUGAGCAGGAAAGCAGGGGAUCGCAAGACCUUGCGCUGAUUGAGCGGCCGAUAUCAGAUUAGCUAGUUGGUGAGGUAAAGGCUCACCAAGGCGACGAUCUGUAGCGGGUCUGAGAGGAUGAUCCGCCACACUGGAACUGAGACACGGUCCAGACUCCUACGGGAGGCAGCAGUGGGGAAUUUUGGACAAUGGGCGCAAGCCUGAUCCAGCCAUGCCGCGUGAGUGAAGAAGGCCUCGGUUG
This 392-nucleotide ribosomal RNA is filed under the name uncultured bacterium. RNAcentral describes it as "bacterial SSU rRNA". It matches the Rfam family "Bacterial small subunit ribosomal RNA", at positions 30 to 425 of the family's 1533-position model. The record is from RNAcentral.